GCUUAACGCGAAGAACCUUACCAACCCUUGACAUGGGACGUAUGGGCUUCAGAGAUGAGGUCCUUCAGUUCGGCUGGCGUCCACACAGGUGCUGCAUGGCUGUCGUCAGCUCGUGUCGUGAGAUGUUGGGUUAAGUCCCGCAACGAGCGCAACCCUCAUCUUCAGUUGCCAUCAUUUAGUUGGGCACUCUGAAGAAACUGCCGGUGCAAGCCGGAGGAAGGCGGGGAUGACGUCAAGUCCUCAUGGCCCUUACGGGUUGGGCUACACACGUGCUACAAUGGUGGUGACAAUGGGGAGCGAGGCCGCGAGGCCAAGCCAAUCUCAAAAAGCCAUCUCAGUUCGGAUUGCACUCUGCAACUCGAGUGCAUGAAGUUGGAAUCGCUAGUAAUCGCGCAUCAGCAUGGCGCGGUGAAUACGUUCCCGGGUCUUGUACACACCGAGGUCGGUGGGGGAGGGCGAAGGGC
RNAcentral lists this ribosomal RNA (464 nucleotides) under uncultured bacterium. RNAcentral describes it as "bacterial SSU rRNA". It matches the Rfam family "Bacterial small subunit ribosomal RNA", at positions 954 to 1420 of the family's 1533-position model. The record is from RNAcentral.